AUUGAACGCUAGCGGGAUGCCUUACACAUGCAAGUCGAACGGCAGCGCGGACUUCGGUCUGGCGGCGAGUGGCGAACGGGUGAGUAAUGUAUCGGAACGUGCCCGGUAGCGGGGGAUAACUACUCGAAAGAGUAGCUAAUACCGCAUACGCCCUACGGGGGAAAGGGGGGGAUCGCAAGACCUCUCACUAUUGGAGCGGCCGAUAUCGGAUUAGCUAGUUGGUGAGGUAAAGGCUCACCAAGGCGACGAUCAGUAGCUGGUUUGAGAGGACGACCAGCCACACUGGGACUGAGACACGGCCCAGACUCCUACGGGAGGCAGCAGUGGGGAAUUUUGGACAAUGGGGGCAACCCUGAUCCAGCCAUUCCGCGUGUGCGAUGAAGGCCUUCGGGUUGUAAAGCACUUUUGGCAGGAAAGAAAUCGCACGGAUUAAUACUCUGUGUGGAUGACGGUACCUGCAGAAUAAGCACCGGCUAACUACGUGCCAGCCGCCGCCGUAA
RNAcentral lists this ribosomal RNA (500 nucleotides) under uncultured bacterium. RNAcentral describes it as "partial 16S ribosomal RNA". It matches the Rfam family "Bacterial small subunit ribosomal RNA", at positions 30 to 523 of the family's 1533-position model. The record is from RNAcentral.